UACGGAGGGUGCAAGCGUUAAUCGGAAUUACUGGGCGUAAAGCGCGCGUAGGCGGUUUGAUAAGUCAGAUGUGAAAGCCCCGGGCUUAACCUGGGAAUUGCAUUUGAAACUGUCUAACUAGAGUGUGGUAGAGGGAGGUGGAAUUCAGCGUGUAGCGGUGAAAUGCGUAGAGAUGCUGAGGAACACCAGUGGCGAAGGCGGCCUCCUGGACCAACACUGACGCUGAGGUGCGAAAGCGUGGGGAGCAAACAGGAUUAGAUACCCCCGUA
RNAcentral lists this ribosomal RNA (269 nucleotides) under uncultured prokaryote. Its description in RNAcentral is "partial 16S ribosomal RNA". It matches the Rfam family "Bacterial small subunit ribosomal RNA", at positions 524 to 792 of the family's 1533-position model. The record is from RNAcentral.